ACGGACUUCUUCUGCGGUAGCCAUAGAAUCCAAAUUAUCUUGCUUUGCUUGGCUGUUCUUGCGGCGGAGCGUAGCUUCAAUCUCAGGAUCAAAAUCUUCAAGAGGAAGCUUCUGAGAUCGCGUGUUCAUGCACUACCUACAAAACUCCAACGCAAGAAUCAGAACCGCAGGAAAAAUAAAGAACAGAAAAAUAAAUAACAGAAAUAAAAAAAAAUCCAGAGUAGUAUCAAACAAUUAACAGAAUAGUACUGAUAAAAAUCAGUCCCCGGCAACGGCGCCAAAAACUUGUUCGCUAUUUUAUUAACACGCCGCAAGUGUACGGGUGCAAUUGUGUACAGUAGCAAGCAAGGUCGUAUUCCACAGAGACUGA
This 370-nucleotide long non-coding RNA is filed under the name Salvia miltiorrhiza (redroot sage). Its description in RNAcentral is "long non-coding RNA (SMIL_LNC013103)". The record is from RNAcentral. Lineage: Eukaryota; Viridiplantae; Streptophyta; Magnoliopsida; Lamiales; Lamiaceae.